This 87-nucleotide non-coding RNA is filed under the name Desulfosporosinus acidiphilus. Its description in RNAcentral is "c-di-GMP sequence". It matches the Rfam family "c-di-GMP-I riboswitch aptamer". From Rfam's summary of the family: GEMM was predicted in a large-scale screen for bacterial structured RNA regulatory elements. The record is from RNAcentral. Lineage: Bacteria; Bacillati; Bacillota; Clostridia; Eubacteriales; Desulfitobacteriaceae.
UAUUAUCUAGGGCAAAUUGUUCGAAAGAACAAGACGCAAAGCUAUAGGGUCUAACUUCCCAUGGAAUAUGACAGCCUGGCUGCAAAC